UAAAAAAUUCAUCUGUGUCUAGCAGUUCUUUCUCAAAUUCAGUUUUGGGAAAGGAAGGUUCAAUGUCAGAAUCAUUUCUACCUUUCCCCACAAUUUCAAAAACUGACCAAGCUAAUCAAACGGUUGCAACUGAAUCUGUUAUGCCCAGUAUUUCUGUCAGCAGAUCAUUCUUAACCAAUCAGUAUAACAGGCCACAUCAAGCAGCUAUGGGUCUUCAGAAAGUCGCUCAGCAUAAUAAGGAGUGGAAGCCAAAAUCAAGCCAAAAAACAAGUCUUGGUAGCCCUGGAGUGAUUGGAACGCCUACAAAAUCUAGUUCACCUCCAGCUGACAA
RNAcentral lists this unclassified non-coding RNA (331 nucleotides) under Hevea brasiliensis (rubber tree). Lineage: Eukaryota; Viridiplantae; Streptophyta; Magnoliopsida; Malpighiales; Euphorbiaceae. The record is from RNAcentral.